Molecule: ribosomal RNA, 245 nt
Filed under: uncultured bacterium
Lineage: Bacteria
Description: partial 16S ribosomal RNA
Source: RNAcentral
CUGCUGCCUUCCGUAGGAGUCUGGGCCGUGUCUCAGUCCCAAUGUGGCCGUCCACUCUCUCAAGCCGGCUACUGAUCGUCGCCUUGGUGAGCCGUUACCUCACCAACCAGCUAAUCAGACGCGGGCCCAUCCCAUAGCGAUAAAUCUUUGAAGAAAAGAACAUGCGCUCUCUCCUUGUUAUGCGGUAUUAGCAGCCGUUUCCAGCUGUUGUCCCCCUCUAUGGGGCAGGUUGCCCACGCGUUACU